GUCCAGCAGCCGAUCCAGCCUGGGUUCUGAUGGGGCUGCAUCUCCUUAUGCAGGAAGUGAAGAUAGCCAUUUUCGUAGAGCAAAAGAGGAAUUGCAAUCAAUGGUCAAAAGCCAUUCGAAAAGCCUUUUGAGACAAAUUGAUUUAGGUGCCUUGCCUGUGAACUUAUCGUUAUAAUCGUUGAUGCAAGUCAUGGUGAGUUUAAGGAAAUAGCGAGGUGUUCCACUCAUACUGUAUUGGCUGCUUGUGGCCUUGAGCACAGGAGGAGCGAGGUCUACACGAUCCCUCUACCAUCCUUUUAUUCCCACAUAGACAAAAUGGCAACUGGACAGACAAUUCUGAUAAGAGGAGUUUGCUCAACAUGUUUUGAUGUUUUCGUCAAAGAUGUAACCCAAAACAUAAUGUACACAAGACUACCACUACGUUGGUUAAGUUUAGGUCUUUACGAAUUGAUAAACGUGGGCUGCCAUUUUUUGCACGUCCAUCCUUCUUUUUGGGGGGAUUUAGAUGAGAAGUAGGGGGAUUUUUUUCCAUAAUGAUAACUGUUCGUGGUCCCAAGAGGAUCCAUUUUUCUGUGAUUACAUCAAUGAUAUUUGUUUUUUGGUUGAA
Molecule: long non-coding RNA, 607 nt
Organism: Syzygium oleosum
Lineage: Eukaryota; Viridiplantae; Streptophyta; Magnoliopsida; Myrtales; Myrtaceae
Exons: 2
Source: RefSeq, a predicted model, not a curated record